Molecule: ribosomal RNA, 497 nt
Filed under: uncultured bacterium
Lineage: Bacteria
Description: partial 16S ribosomal RNA
Rfam family: Bacterial small subunit ribosomal RNA
Source: RNAcentral
GAUGAACGCUGGCGGCGUGCCUAAUACAUGCAAGUCGAGCGAACAGAUGAGGAGCUUGCUCCUCUGACGUUAGCGGCGGACGGGUGAGUAACGCGUGGAUAACCUACCUAUAAGACUGGGAUAACUUCGGGAAACCGGAGCUAAUACCGGAUAAUAUAUUGAACCGCAUGGUUCAAUAGUGAAAGACGGUUUUGCUGUCACUUAUAGAUGGAUCCGCGCCGCAUUAGCUAGUUGGUAAGGUAACGGCUUACCCAGGCAACGAUGCGUAGCCGACCUGAGAGGGUGAUCGGCCACACUGGAACUGAGACACGGUCCAGACUCCUACGGGAGGCAGCAGUAGGGAAUCUUCCGCAAUGGGCGAAAGCCUGACGGAGCAACGCCGCGUGAGUGAUGAAGGUCUUCGGAUCGUAAAACUCUGUUAUUAGGGAAGAACAAAUGUGUAAGUAACUAUGCACGUCUUGACGGUACCUAAUCAGAAAGCCACGGCUAACUACGUG